GGAGUGGUGUCCGAGUGGUUAUGGAGCUGCGUUUAGGCCUUUCUAAGCAUUCUCCGCAGUGGCUUUGCCUCGUGGGUUCGAAUCCCACCCGCUUCA
This 96-nucleotide transfer RNA is filed under the name Cercospora zeae-maydis SCOH1-5. Its description in RNAcentral is "tRNA-Leu". It matches the Rfam family "tRNA". From Rfam's summary of the family: Transfer RNA (tRNA) molecules are approximately 80 nucleotides in length. The record is from RNAcentral. Lineage: Eukaryota; Fungi; Ascomycota; Dothideomycetes; Mycosphaerellales; Mycosphaerellaceae.